Thalassophryne amazonica is the source of this 166-nucleotide long non-coding RNA. RefSeq lists it as uncharacterized. The transcript is spliced from 3 exons. The record is from RefSeq and is a predicted model, not a curated record. Lineage: Eukaryota; Metazoa; Chordata; Actinopteri; Batrachoidiformes; Batrachoididae.
UCAGCACUUUCAUCUCUUGUUCUUUAUUUGCCAAGACACCUAGAAUUAAAGACAUCUAAUAACUGCUUCAGGUCUUUGGUGAGCAUCCAAGUCUCUAAACCAUACAGCAAGACAGGUAGCACCAGGACCCUAAGAACUUGGACCUUCAUUUGCCUGCAGACAUAUU